This 404-nucleotide ribosomal RNA is filed under the name Fusobacteriota bacterium. Its description in RNAcentral is "Fusobacteria bacterium partial 16S ribosomal RNA". It matches the Rfam family "Bacterial small subunit ribosomal RNA", at positions 355 to 776 of the family's 1533-position model. The record is from RNAcentral. Lineage: Bacteria; Fusobacteriati; Fusobacteriota.
UGGGGAAUAUUGCACAAUGGAGGGAACUCUGCUGCAGCGACGCCGCGUGAGUGAUGAAGGAAUUCGUUUCGUAAAACUCUGUUCUAUGGGAAGAAAAGGACUGUACCAUAGGAGAAAGCUCCGGCUAAAUACGUGCCAGCAGCCGCGGUAAUACGUAUGGAGCGAGCGUUGUCCGGAAUUAUUGGGCGUAAAGGGUGCGCAGGCGGCUUUACAAGUUGGAUGUGAAAUAUUGUGGCUCAACCACAAACGUGCAUCCAAAACUGCAAAGCUUGAGGUAAGGAGAGGUAAGUGGAAUUCCUAGUGUAGCGGUGGAAUGCGUAGAUAUCAGGAGGAAUACCGGUGGCGAAGGCGACUUACUGGACUUAAACUGACGCUCAGGCACGAAAGCGUGGGGAGCAAACAGG